AACGCACAUUGCGCCCUUUGGCAUUCCGAAGGGCAUGCCUGUUCGAGCGUCAUUGUCACCCCUCAAGCCCCGCGCUUGGUGUUGGACGGUCUGGUCGAUGUUGCAUCGAACCCCUCUCAAAGACAAUGACGGCGGCCUGUGGCUCCCCCGGCACACUGAGCUUUUCAUCGAGCACGUGUCGGAUUCGUGGGUGUCCAGGUCCCGGUCAUCUCCCCCGUUUGGGGGAAAUAUUUUCACAAGGUUGACCUCGGAUCAGGUAGGAAUACGCGCUGAACUUAA
This 279-nucleotide unclassified non-coding RNA is filed under the name uncultured fungus. Its description in RNAcentral is "partial contains 5.8S ribosomal RNA, internal transcribed spacer 2, and large subunit ribosomal RNA". The record is from RNAcentral. Lineage: Eukaryota; Fungi.